RNAcentral lists this transfer RNA (69 nucleotides) under Gammaproteobacteria bacterium. Its description in RNAcentral is "tRNA-Leu". The record is from RNAcentral. Lineage: Bacteria; Pseudomonadati; Pseudomonadota; Gammaproteobacteria.
AGUUAUGUGGCGAUUGUUGAGCCAUUCAUAAUGCUGGGGUCGGUGGUUCAAGUCCACCCGUAGCUACCA